This 1346-nucleotide ribosomal RNA is filed under the name uncultured bacterium. Its description in RNAcentral is "partial 16S ribosomal RNA". It matches the Rfam family "Bacterial small subunit ribosomal RNA", at positions 28 to 1381 of the family's 1533-position model. The record is from RNAcentral.
GACGAACGCUGGCGGCGUGCUUAACACAUGCAAGUCGAACGGAAAGGCCCUGCUUUUGUGGGGUGCUCGAGUGGCGAACGGGUGAGUAACACGUGAGUAACCUGCCCUUGACUUUGGGAUAACUUCAGGAAACUGGGGCUAAUACCGGAUAGGAGCUCCUGCUGCAUGGUGGGGGUUGGAAAGUUUCGGCGGUUGGGGAUGGACUCGCGGCUUAUCAGCUUGUUGGUGGGGUAGUGGCUUACCAAGGCUUUGACGGGUAGCCGGCCUGAGAGGGUGACCGGCCACAUUGGGACUGAGAUACGGCCCAGACUCCUACGGGAGGCAGCAGUGGGGAAUAUUGCACAAUGGGCGGAAGCCUGAUGCAGCAACGCCGCGUGCGGGAUGACGGCCUUCGGGUUGUAAACCGCUUUCGCCUGUGACGAAGCGUGAGUGACGGUAAUGGGUAAAGAAGCACCGGCUAACUACGUGCCAGCAGCCGCGGUGAUACGUAGGGUGCGAGCGUUGUCCGGAUUUAUUGGGCGUAAAGGGCUCGUAGGUGGUUGAUCGCGUCGGAAGUGUAGUCUUGGGGCUUAACCCUGAGCGUACUUUCGAUACGGGUUGACUUGAGGAAGGUAGGGGAGAAUGGAAUUCCUGGUGGAGCGGUGGAAUGCGCAGAUAUCAGGAGGAACACCAGUGGCGAAGGCGGUUCUCUGGGCCUUUCCUGACGCUGAGGAGCGAAAGCGUGGGGAGCGAACAGGCUUAGAUACCCUGGUAGUCCACGCUGUAAACGGUGGGUACUAGGUGUGGGGUCCAUUCCACGGGUUCCGUGCCGUAGCUAACGCUUUAAGUACCCCGCCUGGGGAGUACGGCCGCAAGGCUAAAACUCAAAGGAAUUGACGGGGCCCCGCACAAGCGGCGGAGCAUGCGGAUUAAUUCGAUGCAACGCGUAGAACCUUACCUGGGUUUGACAUGGAUCGGGAGUGCUCAGAGAUGGGUGUGCCUCUUUUGGGGUCGGUUCACAGGUGGUGCAUGCCUGUCGUCAGCUCGUGUCGUGAGAUGUUGGGUUAAGUCCCGCAACGAGCGCAACCCUUGUUCACUGUUGCCAGCACGUUAUGGUGGGGACUCAGUGGAGACCGCCGGGGUCAACUCGGAGGAAGGUGGGGAUGACGUCAAGUCAUCAUGCCCCUUAUGUCCAGGGCUUCACGCAUGCUACAAUGGCUGGUACAGAGAGUGGCGAGCCUGUGAGGGUGAGCGAAUCUCGGGAAGCCGGUCUCAGUUCGGAUUGGGGUCUGCAACUCGACCUCAUGAAGUCGGAGUCGCUAGUAAUCGCAGAUCAGCAACGCUGCGGUGAAUACGUUCCCGGGGCU